UGUUUUUUACAGUCCCUCAGGUGACUCGGGUGUGCAGUAGCAGGUUGGGAAGACUGGGAGACAGAGCCACACAAGCAGACACAACCCGUGGGGAAGUUCUGCAGGUCAGCGUGGUCCACACAGGCGUCCCAGAGGAAACAGCGGGGGGCGCACCAGGGAAGAUGGGGCUGAGGGCCUGAUUGUUCAAGUCUUCGCGGUGGAACAGCCACCGGUGCCAACUCUGAGACCAGUUACAGGGGACACAGGAGGGAGUAUGGACAGCACAGAGCCGUAAGGCAAAGGGGUCCCAGGUGGUCCCUGUUCUCCUAGGAGCCAACUCCACCUACCCCCAGGCUGGCUCUUCCCAGGAAUUGGCAGUUUUCUGGGGGUCUGAGGGAAAGACCUGCUUGGAGAGAGCCCCAGUUUGGGGGAGGAAGUCAGGAGCAGAGACUUGCUGGGAGAUUCUUGGUCCACGGGGAGUCGGGGGGGCCUGGGUCCCCGUCACCAGGUCUACCCGGGGGAGGCGGGCCGGGUGCAGCCUUCAGCGGGAACUAGACCACACCAUGGAAAAGCCACCUGGGGAUCCCCAGCCCAGGCUGGAGGUUCGGGGGUGUCUGGCUGAGAGGGCUCUUCCUGGGAGGCCUGUCCUACCCCACAGGGUGUGUUGUUUUCUCCAGAGGAGGCAUCUAGCACCCAGAACGCCCAAGCUGGGCAGGGCGGGUGUGAAUCAGCUGGGGCCGGGGGUGGUGGCGCUGGAACGGGUGUGCUGUGGGGACAGUGCCCGGGCUGUGCUGCCCGCAGACCCAAGUUGAAUCCAGAGCCUCAGUUUACUCCCUAGUGAAGUGAGGAUUCAAUAAGACAUAUGUGGACGUCACCUUGUGCACCAACAGGAACACGGCAGGCACUUGGCAAGUGGGAGCUGUGACUGCCCCAAGACGGAGCCUGGUGAGGUUGGCAUGGCCCUGAAAACCCAUAGCGUACCCAGGGUCCCCCAGUGGAAAGACCCGCUGACUCCAGGCAGCUGCACUGAAGGGGGAGUCUGACUUGUGUUGGGGUGGCGGGGUAGCCACCUAGGGGCGGAAGCAACCCACUAGAGAGGGGCGACAAGGGUGGCUGAGAAGUUGAGAGGAGGGAGUCUUGGGCUCCAAACGCGGAGGCCACGCACAUCCUGGGGGCAGGCUCAGAGCCCCCCUACCAGUGAGCUUUGGCCAGAAGUCCAGGGCAGGAUUCCAGCUCAGGGGCCAGGGUGCUAAAGACAGGCUCUGCCCAGGGGACUCCGGGCCGUAGGCUGAGCUCUCGUACCUUGGGCUGGGAAAUGGCGAGAUAGCACCAGCCACCAAACUUCACCCAGGACAGAGCCACCCGGGCUCUUAAAAGCCACCCCUGCCUCCGGGCUCCAGAGCAGCCUUGGCUGCUGGCUGGCUGCAGAUCUGCCAGGAGCCAUCCCUAGGGUCUCUGGGGAAGGUGCCCUCCUCUGGCAUCCACACGGGCAACUUGCAGGGGCAACCAGGCAGCUGGGAAGAGCGUGUUGGGUUUUGUUUUGGAAGCCUGUGUGGACAGACAAGAAAAAGCAGCCUUUGUUGGGGAGGCUGACCCGGCUGGCGAGGCCGCUGUCCCUGGGCGUGGCUGUCUGCCUGUCUGGGAGCAGCGGGUGGGACUGUCAGGCCCUGCUGGGCAGGCUAGGGGCGACGGCUCCCUCCCUGCUGACGCGGUGCCCGCUGCACCCGAAUCUGUUCACACGGCAUCUGGACGGUUGGGCCAGCCCUGCCCUCCCCUGCUGGGGAAACUGAGACCCCACCACACUCUCAUUUCAGGACGUGUGGCUGGAUGACUGACUCACACAUGGAACUUGGGGUGUGCUUUGCACUGUUGUCGAUGCCACAGGGAGGUCAACGCAUCCCUCAGGAUGCAGGGUCAGGGGUCAGGCCUGUGCCCCAGGCCCAGGGGAGGAAACGAGGGCUUGUGUGUUUUCAGGCAGAACUGCUCAGAGAGACUUUGCCUUGUGACCGUGGAGGCCCAGUGGCAGGACCGCGCUGGACUGCAGAGGUGGGCAGAGCACGGGCCCAGCACAAGGACCUGGCCUCCAGGAAGGGGGCAUUUGCCGUGUGGUGGAGACCUGGCACCCCUCAUACCCAGCACCUGGAGGUGACUGGUCCGUGGGUGGCAGUGGUGUGAUGUCCUGUCCUUGACAGCCUCAACAACGGCUCUGCGGCAGUCCUGGGCCCAGAGACAUCUGUCUUCAAAUCAGGAGCCUAGCAGGGGGACAUCCCAUCUAGGAGGUGGGGCCUUGCCCUGUGGGGUCCAGGUGGCAAAGUCCUGGAGUCCUCGCACGGCCCAGGCAGGGGGAAAGGCCACAAAAUGUGGCUGGUAUUGUGUCUCUGCAACCGCGGCCAAUGGGGGUUCCAAACGGAUGUAAUUUGGUUUAGAGAGAAAUGUGAUUUAGAAGUACCAAGAAAUAUGACAUUUCUUUUACCUCAAAUGCCUCAGGUGGAUUUGUACCUGUUGCAGCCAUUUGACCAGGUUUCUUCACAGGUUGAGUGGUUUCUCGUGGCCAGGCCUUUGCUCACGUUGGCUUCCUCUCCCUCUGUGGCUGGCCCUACCCUGCCAGUCCCAGCCAGCCUUCUCCGGGAGCUUUCCUGGGGCCCGCGGAUGCCAUCAUUCUCUCGUCUGCUUCCAGGCAUGUGUAUCCUCAGACACAGGAGGAACCCAUGUGUCUGUCUUCACUCGUCCCAGUCUUGCCCCAUCCAACAGGUUCUCCACUCCGCAGGUUGUCCCUUGUGUGAGUCCCUCGACUGGGACGCUCCUUCCGGAACCUGGCUAACUCCAGCUCCAGACAGCCGCAGCCAGGCCACGUGGGAGGGAAUGAGCUUUCAGAUGGUCCCAUCACCCAGCCGAGUCCCCAGACUCAUGGGGUAACAACAGGCCAGCCCCACAGAGCCCUUGCUACAUUUCCAACCCACAGAAAUGUGAGAGACGAUGAAUGAUUAUAGUUGCGGAAGCCCCUACAUUUGGAGGUGAUUUGUUACGCAGCCGCAGCUCUGCAGACCGACACCCUGCGCCUGCCCUGCCCUGGUCAGAUGCUCACAGCACCCCACUUGUUUCUUCUUUGCACGUGGCACUGUUGUCAUUUUGUCCAUUUACGUGUGUUUGAGUAAUCUCAUUCCCCCACUAGGACGUAAGCCCCACGAGGGCAGGAACCUUGUCUGCUGUGCCCACCGUUCUGUCCCCAGCAGUGAGCACAGCGUCUGGCUCUCUGUUCAAUACAAAACAUGAGCCGUGAAUGAAUGAAUGAAUGAAUGAAGCUGGUGAGAGGCAGGAGCCUGCCCCAGCGACCUAGAGGUGGAGUUCAAAUGCUUCCAGGAACCUCCUGUUUGCUCCUGCUUGCAGGAAGCUCCGCGCUGGCAAGUGGCACACAGCAACCUUCACUUCACGACAAGCCGCAGGGGCCUCUGCCGCCACCUCUCCUUAUCUUCUCGCCCUGAGUUCUUCUCUGAGGUCCAGGCGGGUCACCCCCAUAUGCAGCGUAAGCUUCGUGGAGGCCUUGGCAGAGCACUUUGUUUGGGCUUCCGUGCCCUUCGGACAUCCCGGGAGUCACACUCCCUACUCUACCCUGCUGCCCCGCUCUGGCCUGGGUAAUCCUUCACGGAGGCCCGCGGGGAGCGAGGGAGGCAGAGUGUUCUCAGAACCAAGGGAGUGCUGGUCCCUGGCUCCGUCUACAGGUGACGAUGCAGGUGGCGGAAGCUGGAGGGCGGUGUCAGUGACUGAUCUGGGACCAGCCAGGGCGCGCAAACCCAGCGCCCUCCAGCGUCCUCCACGUAACUCUGCUGGGUGGCCCGCUCUGUGCCUCCCUGCACAAGGGCUGCUGGGCCACAAGCCGCCAUUGCAUGUCGGGACCUGAGAGCCCCCAUGUCCUGGCCCCCGCACCUCUGGGGCACGCAAGUGCUUGUGAAAUGACUCCCCCUGGAGGCCCCUUGGCCCAGGUCAUCAGUGAUGACGCAGGGCUGAGUCACCUAUUUUCCUGGAGGAGCUUCUUAGAAAGGGCUGGGCCCUGCCCUCCCCAGGUAGCUUCCAGCACCCCGCCCCCCCGCACCUGUCUUCCACAGAGAGAGCCGCUCUCCCGCCCUCCCAGUCGGGACUUCCGCUUGCCCGGGCUUGCAGCAGCAGGGAUGGCUUGGGAGGGGCCACGGGAUCUCUGGCCUGGGGCCGUCUCUAGGGAGCCUCAGCAUGUGGGCACGGAAGGGACUCAGCGCCUUUUUGGGCAGCAGAGGAGACCGAGGCACAGAGAGCAGGGUUUCUCUCUGAUGCGUCCCUCACCGCACCUCUCUUGUCCAGCGUCCCCCCACAGCCCGCACUAGCAGGUGUCGACUGGAGGCCGUGCAGAAGGGUGGACGCAGAUCAGACUGGGAGCCGGCACCGGCCCAGGGACCGCACAUCCGAAGGCUGGUCAGCCACACAUGAAGGAGCCUGGGGCAAAGGACUCUGCCCCAGGGCUGGCAUUAACCAAGCCAGUCUGACUUGGACCACACUGAAGAAUACCUAGGGACUGGGGCUGAGAGCAAGAGGAGACCAGCAGACACCAGAGAUCCUGGAGCCAAGGCUGCUGCUGUCCCCGUACCACCGCAGGCAGCUCUGGACCCCGAGUCCUGAUGGGUCACAACUGGGCUCUCCCCCACCCCCACUACGGCUGCCAUCUUGGCCACCGCCUCCAAAUAUACACAGCUGUGUACACUGUUUCCCUUUUUUUUUUUUUUUUUACAUUUUAGAGUUUUACAUUUAGACAGGACCUAUUUUUAGUUAAUUUUUGUAUUUGGUGUGAGUAUGGUUGGAGGUUCAUUUUUGGGUUUAUGGAUUGUAUUGGUUUUUUAUGCUGCACAAUAAAUGAACCCAAACUUAGCAGCUUAACACGUUUAUGACAUCACAGUUCCUGUGGGUCAGGAGCCUGGGCACGGCUUAGCCACGUCCUCUCCUGAGGGUCUCCCCAGGCUGUACCUGGUAUUGCUGGGCUGUGUUCUCAUCUGAAGGCUUGACUGGAGAGAAUCCAUCUGCAAGCUCAUUCAGUUGGUGGUGGAAUUCAUUUCCUUGCAGCUAGAGGACUGAGGGCCCAGCUCCUAGAGGUGUCCUGCAAUUCCUUGACAUGUGGGCUUCCCACACACGACUGCUUCUUGUCAAGCCAGGAAGGCCAGUCCAGAGCAGUUGGCUAGCAAGACAGAAUCUUAAAUAAGGUGACGCAAUCAUGAGGACAACAUCCCAUAGCUUGCCAUAUCCCACUGAUUAGAAGCAAGUCACACUCAAGGGGCAGGGACUUCCACAACGAUGGAACCUUGGCUCUAGGAUCUCUGGUCUCCACUGGUCUCCUCUUGCUCUCAGGCCCAGUCCCUACAUAUUCUUCAGUGUGGUCCAAGUCAGACUGGCUUAGAUAAUGCCAGCCCUGGGGCAGAGUCCUUUGCCCCAGGCUCCUUCAUGUGUGGCUGACCAGCCUUUGGAUGGGCGGUCCCUGGGCUGGUGCCGGCUCCCAGUCUGAUCUGUGUCCACCCUUCUGCACAUCCUCCAGUCGACACCUGCUAGUGCGGGCUGUGGGGGGACGCUGGACAAGAGAGGCAGGGGCCAUCACGGGAUCUGAGAUUCUGCCUGCUGCAUGGACGUACCAUUUGCUGAAAAGACUAUCUUUCCUCCAUUGAAUUGUCUUUAUACUUCUGCAAAAAAUCAAUCGCUCAUAUUUGUGUGAGCACAUUUCUGGACACCACCUUCUAUUCAACUGAUCUACGUGUCCAUCCCUUUGCCACUAACACGACGUCCUGAUGACUGUAGCUUGUGCUGCAUUCUAUCAGCAAAUCGUGUUCCAACUGGGCUGUUCUUUUUCGCAACUGAUUUUAGGUAUUCUAGGUCCUUUGCUGUUUCGUAUACAUUUUAGAAUUGGUUUACAAAUUUUUGUUAAAAAAAUCCUGCUGGAAUUUUGAUUGGGAUUGCUUUGAACCUAUAGAAGUGAGUAAAAAUUUUGAGUCAAGAUUUAAAAAGUGACUUGAGUUUACAUGUGAAAAACUCUAGAUUUCCAGGUUUUCUUGGGAAAUGAGAAAAUGGAGCAGCAGCAGGCCUGUGACCCUACAGGUCCAUGACCAGAUGACCAGCUCUCGUCCUGCCCAGCAGGUGGGCCAUGUCCCAGUGCACCUGCUGUCCUCUUGCCCACCCACGGUGGCUCAUGUGCCACACUCUCUCUCUCUGUUCACUGUCGCCUGCCUGGGCCUCUCAGGCCCUAGAGUUGGUGGCUCCUGUGCUAGCCUCUCUGUGCUGUAACUUAGGGGCAGGAUGCUCUCCCUCCACUCUUGGCCUGGCUAAUAGCUUCUCAUCGUGCAAAACUCAGGGCCCCAAGAGGCCUCCCAGACCCAAGCGAGGUGAGGACCCCAGGCUUGUGAUCUUGUAGCUCCCGGAGCUGCUCCUCCUAAGUCCUCACCCCAGGAGGACGAUGUCUGUUUCUCCCAGUGAGUUCCAUGAGGCGAGGACCAGGCCUUUUGGUCACUGCUGCAUCUCCAGUGACUGCCGCAGAGUCUGGCACAUAGUAGAUGCUCAAUAAACAUUCAAAGGCUCAAUGAGCCUUUUCCCAGGCUGCAGCUCAGGAGCCUUUAAGUAGUUCCCCAUGUCCUUCCCCCCUCGCCCCGUCUUGGCCUCCUUGUUUGAAGAUGUGCCUGUGAAAAUGACAAAGUGGGACACUCAUGUUCUUGGCCUGGAAACUGCUCCCUUCUAACAGGACAAACAAGCUCCUUGGAGCCUGGGACAGGCUUUGGCUGGAAACCCAGGACACUGUCUCCUUGCACGGCCCUGAGGGCUCUUGCUCCUUUUCUUUCUUUCCUUUUUCAGCUUUAAUCAUUUAAAAAAAUUAAAGCAUUAUUUACAUA
Molecule: long non-coding RNA, 6869 nt
Organism: Lemur catta (Ring-tailed lemur)
Lineage: Eukaryota; Metazoa; Chordata; Mammalia; Primates; Lemuridae
Exons: 4
Source: RefSeq, a predicted model, not a curated record